CGAGUGGCGAACGGGUGAGUAAUACAUCGGAACGUACCUUAUCGUGGGGGAUAACGCAGCGAAAGCUGUGCUAAUACCGCAUACGCCCUUAGGGGGAAAGCGGGGGAUCGCAAGACCUCGCGCGAUUAGAGCGGCCGAUGCCUGAUUAGCUUGUUGGUGGGGUAAAAGCCCACCAAGGCGACGAUCAGUAGCUGGUCUGAGAGGACGAUCAGCCACACUGGGACUGAGACACGGCCCAGACUCCUACGGGAGGCAGCAGUGGGGAAUUUUGGACAAUGGGGGAAACCCUGAUCCAGCAAUGCCGCGUGAGUGAAGAAGGCCUUCGGGUUGUAAAGCUCUUUUGUCAGGGAAGAAACACCGGCUCUAACACAGUCCGGGAAUGACGGUACCUGAAGAAUAAGCACCGGCUAACUACGUGCCAGCAGCCGCGGUAAUACGUAGGGUGCAAGCGUUAAUCGGAAUUACUGGGCGUAAAGCGUGCGCAGGCGGUUAUACAAGACAGGCGUGAAAUCCCCGGGCUCAACCUGGGAAUUGCAUCUGUGACUGUAUAGCUAGAGUACGGUAGAGGGGGAUGGAAUUCCGCGUGUAGCAGUGAAAUGCGUAGAUAUGCGGAGGAACACCGAUGGCGAAGGCAAUCCCCUGGACCUGU
RNAcentral lists this ribosomal RNA (649 nucleotides) under uncultured bacterium. Its description in RNAcentral is "bacterial SSU rRNA". It matches the Rfam family "Bacterial small subunit ribosomal RNA", at positions 92 to 738 of the family's 1533-position model. The record is from RNAcentral.